AGUCGCCGCGGUAAUACAGAGGGUGCGAGCGUUAAUCGGAUUUACUGGGCGUAAAGCGUGCGUAGGCGGCUUCUUAAGUCGGAUGUGAAAUCCCUGAGCUUAACUUAGGAAUUGCAUUCGAUACUGGGAAGCUAGAGUAUGGGAGAGGAUGGUAGAAUUCCAGGUGUAGCGGUGAAAUGCGUAGAGAUCUGGAGGAAUACCGAUGGCGAAGGCAGCCAUCUGGCCUAAUACUGACGCUGAGGUACGAAAGCAUGGGGAGCAAACAGGAUUAGAUACCCCCGUAGUCCCUGUCUCUUAUACA
RNAcentral lists this ribosomal RNA (301 nucleotides) under uncultured bacterium. RNAcentral's name for it is "partial 16S ribosomal RNA". It matches the Rfam family "Bacterial small subunit ribosomal RNA", at positions 510 to 808 of the family's 1533-position model. The record is from RNAcentral.